AUUGAACGCUGGCGGCAGGCCUAACACAUGCAAGUCGAACGAGUGGCGGACGGGGGAGUAAUGUCUGGGAAACUGCCCGAUGGAGGGGGAUAACUACUGGAAACGGUAGCUCAUAUCGCACACCAUCGGCUGUGUGCAGAUGGGAUUAGCUUGUAGGUGAGGUAACGGCUCACCUAGGCGACGAUCCCUAGCUGGUCUGAGAGGUUGACCAGCCACACUGGAACUGAGACACGGUCCAGACUCCUACGGGAGGCAGCAGUGGGGAAUAUUGCACAAUGGGCGCAAGCCGGAUGCAGCCAUGCCGCGUGUAUGAAGAAGGCCUUCGGGUUGUAAAGUACUUUCAGCGGGGAGGCGUUACCCGAAGAAGAAGCACCGGCUAACUCCGUGCCAGCAGCCGCGGUAAUAC
This 406-nucleotide ribosomal RNA is filed under the name uncultured bacterium. RNAcentral describes it as "partial 16S ribosomal RNA". It matches the Rfam family "Bacterial small subunit ribosomal RNA", at positions 30 to 526 of the family's 1533-position model. The record is from RNAcentral.